CAGUCGCCACGGUAAUACGAAGGGGGCUAGCGUUGUUCGGAUUUACUGGGCGUAAAGCGCACGUAGGCGGAUCGAUCAGUCAGGGGUGAAAUCCCAGAGCUCAACUCUGGAACUGCCUUUGAUACUGUCGAUCUGGAGUAUGGAAGAGGUGAGUGGAAUUCCGAGUGUAGAGGUGAAAUUCGUAGAUAUUCGGAGGAACACCAGUGGCGAAGGCGGCUCACUGGUCCAUUACUGACGCUGAGGUGCGAAAGCGUGGGGAGCAAACAGGAUUAGAUACCCCCGUAGUCCCUGUCUCUUAUAC
This 301-nucleotide ribosomal RNA is filed under the name uncultured bacterium. RNAcentral describes it as "partial 16S ribosomal RNA". It matches the Rfam family "Bacterial small subunit ribosomal RNA", at positions 509 to 807 of the family's 1533-position model. The record is from RNAcentral.